Molecule: long non-coding RNA, 1794 nt
Filed under: Brachypodium distachyon (stiff brome)
Lineage: Eukaryota; Viridiplantae; Streptophyta; Magnoliopsida; Poales; Poaceae
Description: long non-coding RNA (BDIS_LNC004779)
Source: RNAcentral
AUUCCUUCUUCUAAAAAUAUAUACUCGUACAAGAAAUUGAUUACAGAAUACACUGUUAACUCUCUACAGUUUAUGUCCAACUCCUCCAGAAUUCAGUUUCACUACUCUGCUAAUAUAUUAAAAUUUACUUACGAAGUAUUACUAGAUAAUGAAUUGGCAAUCCAUUCCAGAAAUUACUCAAUCAGCAGGAGAGCAUUUAGCAGCACUUUUUCAGAAAGCCACACAAACUGAAGCAGUAGUCUCAUCAGAAAUCAGAACGAUCAUGUUUCUUCUGCCCUUGAUAAUUUACACGUACGGUACAUUCGGACUCUCGUACACUUUCCCGGUAAAAUUAACACAGCACAUCAUGCUGCAUUGCACGCACGCAUGCAGCUGAUCAUCGACAAGUCGACGGCAAUUGCGAUGAAGAGCUCACAGGCUGGGCGUCCUCUCGGCAGCUCCGGAGAUGACGGUGAGCAGGUUGUUGCCGAAGGGGUCGCUGAGGUGCGCAGAGAGGUUCUCAACGGGGCCCUCGCCAGUGACGUAUGCCUGGAUGAAGAAACCCAGCAUGGAGAACAUGGCUAGCCGGCCGUUCUUGAUCUCCUUCACCUUGAGCAGCGCCGCCUGGUCGGGGUCGCUGGCGAGGCCGAGCGGGUCGAAUGGGCCACCGGGGUGGAGCUUGUCCUCAAGAUCCUGCCGGAGAAAUUGAUGAAAACCGUUGGUCAGUACAAAGUUCCUAAUUGCAGCUCAACUUAUGUAUAUGUUUGAGGUGUUACUGUCACUGACAAGGCCGUUGAUGAUCCUGUAGUACUCGGCGCCUCCGACGAGGACAACCUCGGCGACGACGGCGAGGAUGAGGUUGAUGGGGAUGCUGUUGCCGAAGUAGUUGAGGGUGUUGCCGUCCAGGAGAAGAGCGCCGGUCUGCAUAUGUGUUUGUUCAUGGCACCGUGAGUUUAAACUUCAGAGUUCUGAAUCUGAAUCUGAAUGUGUGAAUACUGAUGAGCAAUUACCUUGAACCAGACGGCCUCGGGACCGCAGUUGGCGCCGAACUUGUUGCACGCCUCGGGGAUGAUGAAGCCGGCAGCGCCGAGCAUGGCCCAUCUGGCAUGGAUCAGCUCAUAGGCCUGGUACCUGAAGAAUAAGGUGUGGGAAAGGAUUACUUAGUUGAUAGAAUAUUUUGUUUAGAGUGAGACCGUAGGUUAACAAUUUUAGGUCUGUAUUUGCAAAAUGCAGAUCACUACUUACUUGGUGAAGUCAUCUGGCUUCUUGCUCAGACCGAAAGGAUCAUAGCCAUAGCUGAAAGUCCAAAGGGAAACAAAUAGGUCAGUUCAGUUGCAUAUAUAAUCUUAGUCUCUUAGUUUUGCAUGAGCAUUUCAGUAAUAUGAGCAGUGAGGCAAUGCUGCAAAGGGAAGACAACUUUAAUUCAAAUAGUCUGAAAGAUUCGAGAAAACAGUGGCAUUUCCACAAAGAUGAAAACUAAUUUAUGCUACACUGCUCACUACAGAACUAGCAAAAUAGGUACGAGUACCAUAUCCAUAUAAAUUUGCCGUAGUACUAAAUUACUACUACAGUUCAAAGGAUGGUUAAAUUGUGGAGGGUAAAAAUGGAAGCAUAUGACUUACUCUCCAGGAACCUCUCCGUUGAGGUACUCUGGCACCUCUGACCGGUCAAGGAGACCGUCCGGCAAGAAGAUCCUCCUGUCAGGGCCUGAAAACAAGAUUAAAAAAAUAGUACUUAGGUAUGUAUGAAUUUUCAGAACAAAUUAAUUACCUGAAAUGUGUUCAAUCUCAUAUGGAAGUUUUCUUUGUACUCACC